GUGGGUGGUGGAAAGUUCUCGGGCUUUGGUCUGGGUUCGGCUGGGAAUGGGCCUGCGGCCUAUCAGCUUGUUGGUGGGGUGAUGGCCUACCAAGGCGACGACGGGUAGCCGGCCUGAGAGGGCGACCGGCCACACUGGGACUGAGACACGGCCCAGACUCCUACGGGAGGCAGCAGUGGGGAACAUUGCGCAAUGGGCGGAAGCCUGACGCAGCGACGCCGCGUGGGGGAUGACGGCCUUCGGGUUGUAAACCUCUUUCGCCAUCGACGAAGGUUCUGUGGUUGUGAGGCUGCAGGGUUGACGGUAGGUGGAGAAGAAGCACCGGCCAACUACGUGCCAGCAGCCGCGGUAAUACGUAGGGUGCGAGCGUUGUCCGGAAUUAUUGGGCGUAAAGAGCUCGUAGGCGGUGUGUCGCGUCGGCCGUGAAAACCUGCAGCUUAACUGUGGGCGUGCGGUCGAUACGGGCAUCACUGGAGUUCGGCAGGGGAGACUGGAAUUCCUGGUGUAGCGGUGAAAUGCGCAGAUAUCAGGAGGAACACCGGUGGCGAAGGCGGGUCUCUGGGCCGAUACUGACGCUGAGGAGCGAAAGCGUGGGGAGCGAACAGGAUUAGAUACCCUGGUAGUCCACGCCGUAAACGGUGGGCGCUAGGUGUGGGGGCCAUUCCACGGUCUCUGUGCCGCAGCUAACGCAUUAAGCGCCUCGCCUGGGGAGUACGGCCGCAAGGCUAAAACUCAAAGGAAUUGACGGAAUCGA
This 754-nucleotide ribosomal RNA is filed under the name uncultured bacterium. Its description in RNAcentral is "bacterial SSU rRNA". It matches the Rfam family "Bacterial small subunit ribosomal RNA", at positions 192 to 922 of the family's 1533-position model. The record is from RNAcentral.